GUACGUCUUCAGGGCGGGGUGGAAUUCCCCACCGGCGGUAGGGUUGCGCUAUCUGGCAACCAAGCCCGCGAGCGCCUGGCGUUACGGAUAUUGAUAUCCCCACGCCAGGGUCAGCAGAUCCGGUGACACCGAUGCGCAAUGCAACGGUUAUUCCGGAGCCGACGGUUAGAGUCCGGAUGAAAGAAGAUCAGU
This 192-nucleotide non-coding RNA is filed under the name Amantichitinum ursilacus. RNAcentral describes it as "FMN sequence". It matches the Rfam family "FMN riboswitch aptamer (RFN element)". Rfam says of the family: The RFN element is a highly conserved domain that is found frequently in the 5'-untranslated regions of prokaryotic mRNAs that encode for flavin mononucleotide (FMN) biosynthesis and transport proteins. Lineage: Bacteria; Pseudomonadati; Pseudomonadota; Betaproteobacteria; Neisseriales; Chitinibacteraceae. The record is from Rfam by way of RNAcentral.